AGAGUUUGAUCCUGGCUCAGAUUGAACGCUGGCGGCAUGCUUUACACAUGCAAGUCGAACGGUAACGCGGGGGCAACCCUGGCGACGAGUGGCGAACGGGUGAGUAAUACAUCGGAACAUGUCCUGGAGUGGGGGAUAGCUCGGCGAAAGCCGGAUUAAUACCGCAUACGCUCUGAGGAGGAAAGCGGGGGACCUUCGGGCCUCGCGCUGCAGGAGUGGCCGAUGUCGGAUUAGCUAGUUGGUGGGGUAGAGGCCCACCAAGGCGACGAUCCGUAGCUGGUCUGAGAGGAUGAUCAGCCACACUGGGACUGAGACACGGCCCAGACUCCUACGGGAGGCAGCAGUGGGGAAUUUUGGACAAUGGGGGCAACCCUGAUCCAGCCAUGCCGCGUGAGUGAAGAAGGCCUUCGGGUUGUAAAGCUCUUUCGGACGGAACGAAACGGCCGGCGUGAAUAACGCCGGUUACUGACGGUACCGUAAGAAGAAGCACCGGCUAACUACGUGCCAGCAGCCGCGGUAAUACGUAGGGUGCGAGCGUUAAUCGGAAUUACUGGGCGUAAAGCGUGCGCAGGCGGUUCGCCAAGUCAGGUGUGAAAUCCCCGGGCUUAACCUGGGAAUUGCGCUUGAAACUAGCGGGCUUGAGUGUGGCAGAGGGGGGUGGAAUUCCACGUGUAGCAGUGAAAUGCGUAGAGAUGUGGAGGAACACCGAUGGCGAAAGCAGCCCCCUGGGUCAACACUGACGCUCAUGCACGAAAGCGUGGGGAGCAAACAGGAUUAGAUAC
Molecule: ribosomal RNA, 782 nt
Filed under: uncultured soil bacterium
Lineage: Bacteria
Description: bacterial SSU rRNA
Rfam family: Bacterial small subunit ribosomal RNA
Source: RNAcentral